RNAcentral lists this ribosomal RNA (371 nucleotides) under uncultured organism. Its description in RNAcentral is "bacterial SSU rRNA". It matches the Rfam family "Bacterial small subunit ribosomal RNA", at positions 526 to 895 of the family's 1533-position model. The record is from RNAcentral.
CGUAGGAGGCGAGCGUUAUCCGGAUUCACUGGGCGUAAAGCGCGUGCAGGUGGUUCGGUAAGUUGGGCGUGAAAUCUCCCGGCUCAACUGGGAGAGGUCGUUCAAUACUACCGAACUUGAGAGCAGAAGAGGAAGAUGGAAUUCCCGGUGUAGUGGUGAAAUGCGUAGAUAUCGGGAGGAACACCAGUGGCGAAGGCGAUCUUCUGGUCUGUUUCUGACACUCAGACGCGACAGCUAGGGUAGUAAACGGGAUUAGAGACCCCGGUAAUCCUAGCCGUAAACGAUGUGAACUUGGCGUUGGUGGGUUAAACUCCAUCAGUGCCGAAGCAAACGCGAUAAGUUCACCGCCUGGGGACUACGGCCGCAAGGUU